Molecule: ribosomal RNA, 305 nt
Filed under: uncultured bacterium
Lineage: Bacteria
Description: partial 16S ribosomal RNA
Rfam family: Bacterial small subunit ribosomal RNA
Source: RNAcentral
UCUCUCCUACGGGGGGCAGCAGUGGGGAAUAUUGCACAAUGGGGGAAACCCUGAUGCAGCGACGCCGCGUGAGUGAAGAAGUAUUUCGGUAUGUAAAGCUCUAUCAGCAGGGAAGAAAAAAGACGGUACCUGACUAAGAAGCCCCGGCUAACUACGUGCCAGCAGCCGCGGUAAUACGUAGGGGGCAAGCGUUAUCCGGAUCUACUGGGUGUAAAGGGAGCGUAGACGGCGAUGCAAGUCUGAAGUGAAAGGCGGGGGCCCAACCCCCGGACUGCUUUGGAAACCGUAUGGCUGGAGUGCAGGAG